AAAUUGAAGAGUUUGAUCAUGGCUCAGAUUGAACGCUGGCGGCAGGCCUAACACAUGCAAGUCGAACGGUAACAGGAAACAGCUUGCUGUUUCGCUGACGAGUGGCGGACGGGUGAGUAAUGUCUGGGAAACUGCCUGAUGGAGGGGGAUAACUACUGGAAACGGUAGCUAAUACCGCAUAAUGUCGCAAGACCAAAGAGGGGGACCUUCUGGCCUCUUGCCAUCGGAUGUGCCCAGAUGGGAUUAGCUUGUUGGUGGGGUAACGGCUCACCAAGGCGACGAUCCCUAGCUGGUCUGAGAGGAUGACCAGCCACACUGGAACUGAGACACGGUCCAGACUCCUACGGGAGGCAGCAGUGGGGAAUAUUGCACAAUGGGCGCAAGCCUGAUGCAGCCAUGCCGCGUGUAUGAAGAAGGCCUUCGGGUUGUAAAGUACUUUCAGCGGGGAGGAAGGGAGUAAAGUUAAUACCUUUGCUCAUUGACGUUACCCGCAGAAGAAGCACCGGCUAACUCCGUGCCAGCAGCCGCGGUAAUACGGAGGGUGCAAGCGUUAAUCGGAAUUACUGGGCGUAAAGCGCACGCAGGCGGUUUGUUAAGUCAGAUGUGAAAUCCCCGGGCUCAACCUGGGAACUGCAUCUGAUACUGGCAAGCUUGAGUCUCGUAGAGGGGGGUAGAAUUCCAGGUGUAGCGGUGAAAUGCGUAGAGAUCUGGAGGAAUACCGGUGGCGAAGGCGGCCCCCUGGACGAAGACUGACGCUCAGGUGCGAAAGCGUGGGGAGCAAACAGGAUUAGAUACCCUGGUAGUCCACGCCGUAAACGAUGUCGACUUGGAGGUUGUGCCCUUGAGGCGUGGCUUCCGGAGCUAACGCGUUAAGUCGACCGCCUGGGGAGUACGGCCGCAAGGUUAAAACUCAAAUGAAUUGACGGGGGCCCGCACAAGCGGUGGAGCAUGUGGUUUAAUUCGAUGCAACGCGAAGAACCUUACCUGGUCUUGACAUCCACAGAACUUUCCAGAGAUGGAUUGGUGCCUUCGGGAACUGUGAGACAGGUGCUGCAUGGCUGUCGUCAGCUCGUGUUGUGAAAUGUUGGGUUAAGUCCCGCAACGAGCGCAACCCUUAUCCUUUGUUGCCAGCGGUCCGGCCGGGAACUCAAAGGAGACUGCCAGUGAUAAACUGGAGGAAGGUGGGGAUGACGUCAAGUCAUCAUGGCCCUUACGACCAGGGCUACACACGUGCUACAAUGGCGCAUACAAAGAGAAGCGACCUCGCGAGAGCAAGCGGACCUCAUAAAGUGCGUCGUAGUCCGGAUUGGAGUCUGCAACUCGACUCCAUGAAGUCGGAAUCGCUAGUAAUCGUGGAUCAGAAUGCCACGGUGAAUACGUUCCCGGGCCUUGUACACACCGCCCGUCACACCAUGGGAGUGGGUUGCAAAAGAAGUAGGUAGCUUAACCUUCGGGAGGGCGCUUACCACUUUGUGAUUCAUGACUGGGGUGAAGUCGUAACAAGGUAACCGUAGGGGAACCUGCGGUUGGAUCACCUCCUUACCUUAAAGAAGC
This 1554-nucleotide ribosomal RNA is filed under the name Escherichia coli. RNAcentral describes it as "bacterial SSU rRNA". It matches the Rfam family "Bacterial small subunit ribosomal RNA". Lineage: Bacteria; Pseudomonadati; Pseudomonadota; Gammaproteobacteria; Enterobacterales; Enterobacteriaceae. The record is from RNAcentral.